Doryrhamphus excisus (bluestripe pipefish) is the source of this 14382-nucleotide non-coding RNA. The record is from RefSeq and is a predicted model, not a curated record. NCBI's taxonomy places the organism in Eukaryota, Metazoa, Chordata, Actinopteri, Syngnathiformes, Syngnathidae.
GUCCACCGGCCCGGGUUGGAGUUUUUUGGGGGGCGGGGGGAAGUCCUUUUAAGUUGCUAUUGCCAGAGUCCCGAUCGUGUCACAUAGACGUGAUAUCACUGCAGCAACACGCUGUGCACACUUCUGGGCUGGAUAGAGAACAGCAAAAAGCGGCCGAGGAAAUGCGCGCAGUCAUCCGACGACAAGCAGCCCCAGCGGGGAGGAGGAAGAAGAUGAGAAUACGGACUUGUGGAAAGAAUAAGUGCACCUGCACCUUUUAAAAGCUGUGAGUGUGUUGGAGGAACGUCACGGUCCCGCCGAAGAUGAGGAGCGCCUUUGAGUGAGUCAAGUUACGUCCGUUCGCAGAUGUGCGCUUCUGUCGCAGGUGCCAUGCGCGCUUUUAGUCCCCUUUACAUCCACAUCGCUUAGUUUCUUUCUUGGGAGUAUCAGUGGAAGAAGCCAAGCAGGGUAGAUGACGUGCCAUUUGUGCUCCACCACCAGUGUCCGCAUUCCAGGUGCUGUUGCGCACAUUGAAAUGGAAGUAAACAAGUGGGGAUAGUGGCUCUGUGGAGCUGCAAACCCGUGUUUUCAUCAGCAAGGACAUCGCUCCCGGCAUGGCGGGAAAUAUCCUGAUCCAUUUAGAUCAAAUUGAAAGAAAAAAGCCAUACUGGAGGGUCAGUUUGAGCUGCCAAGAACAAGUUGUUGAGCAGUCCUUCUGACAUUUAAUGAGGAUUCGCGUGGGAGAAAGCACUUCUCUAACUUAUGGAGGACUUGUGCAAAAAAAGGUUAGGAUAAAUAUAGUAGUAGUGGUAGGCGAUUGAUCCAAUACCAAUAAAUACAAUAAUUCCAGAUACCAAUACUUUAUACUUCAAUUAUUUAGUGGUUUUGCUUUUCAUUUGUGAUGGUGAUAAUAAUCAGACUAAAACACAUGACAUUACUGUAUCAACUUCUUUUUCCAACUAUGUCACAAUAUCAACCAAAUAUAACAAUUAUUCCCUUAUUUUUUUAGCUAAGAAAUGCAAAAAACAGUACUGACAAUUGUUGCCCCAAAUUGUUGCCCCAAAGACCUGCUGUAUCCACAAACCUAUUCUCUGAGUUUGUAGCAAAUAACAGUAUCAAAAACACAAAAGAAACACACAGAUAUUUCUGAAAAUGACUAUAAAAUAUCCAACACAAAAGUGCUGAUUCACAGCAGGGUGACCAGAUCAGAGUCAUUUAAGCUUUGUGCCAGAGGGUUCCAAACUUUCCAGCGAGGGCCGCAAACAGACAAUAUUGAAGAAGGAAGGGAAAACACAUCACACAUUGCUUUAGUCACUUUGUCAUUCCGUUUUUUUUUACAUUGUAAAAAUUGUGAUUGUGUUAAAUGAAUAUAGAUAAGAUUUGUCAGAGGAUAUUUAUUUUAGAAUUGGCAUCUCUAAGCAAAUGGUGAUGUAUCUUGUUGUAAAAUAAUACAUACUGACCUUCAAAGGGUUAAAAAUCCACAAAUUUUAAUUAAUAUUUGAUAUGUAUAUUUUAUACUGAAGUUGUUCUAAAAAAACAAGAAAUGUUUGGUCCUUAGGACGUUUAGCGCAAGUUGUUUAUUUAAUUUGACAAUAUUAAAAAUCACAACGAAUGGAAAUCAGGAAGUUGUUUCGUCACAAAAUAAAAAUCAUUGAAUCCGAUCCCAUCUAUCCAUCGCUUGGUGUCUUUUCAUAUGAUAUUUGUGCAAAAGCUCUGUUGUUUUAUGACCCUUUUUUCACCACAGUGGUCAUUUUGCUUCAUAAUUAGCAGCAUUUGCUAAAGGGAUGUUUCCUCUGUUAAAUCAUGGUGAGAAUCUGGAUAAAGGAUCGAUACGGCAAGUUUUGUUCAUUCUCAGAGUCACGAUGUACCAGGAAGUAGUGUUCUGGCCUCAGUGGAGGUCUGUAUGGCUGCUGUGAUUGGCAUUAGGUUGUUCUCGAACUCACUCAUGCCAGGUGCCACACACAACCAGCUGUCAAAUCUUGAAACAAGGAACUCGUUUUGUUGGGUUUUGUGUUGUUUAGUCGUCUUUUUCCUGUAUAUUAUAGGUCAAAAUUCACAGCUUUGACAUUUCCUUAAGGGUAAAAUGUUCUUUGAAUGCAGCAUUUGUAUUUCACGAAGUAAACAAAGUAACAAAUGCUCCCAAACAAGUCAGAGCAGUGUCGAACACCGGCUUCGUUGUCCUUGCCUUCUUUCAUGAUAGAGAAAUGUGUGAUAAUCCCGUGGCAUUAACCAGCGUUAAUCUCGCUGUGUUUUCCUUCAUUACGAACAAAUCUGUCACCCCUUUCAAGCUAAUUUAAACAGCAGUUUCCAGCCACAACAUUAGGAACAUCUGCACAUCCUGGUGGGAUCCAGUAGAAGAGCAAGCCAAACUGAACAACAUGUUUAUUAUUCUGGCUAUUUACUGUAUAAUAUAUGCAGAUAAAAUGGCUGACAAUUUGGUGAAUAUUUGUACUUCCGUCAAAGAGAAUGGCAUAGUUACUCACGGUGCAACAUAACAAAAACGCAACACGCAUCACAUAUUGUAUAUCAACGACGGUGACAACGUGGGUGAUAAACAAUAGCGAACCGGUAAAUGUAACACAUAACUUCAGCUGUUAUUUACAAGUGCCUGCAAGGCAUGCUGGGUAGCCCAGCAGCAACAACAAUACAAAUAUUGGAUACGAAGAGUAUGUUAAUGUCCGUCCUUCUUCACGUGCCUGAUGAGCUCCCCAACAUAUCAGCCAAGCAAAAAUGUUGGUAGAGAGAGUAUCACAAGCUACCCGGUAUGCCUUGCGGCAGGACUAUAUGGGUGUAUUGUUGGCAUGGGUAUUUUGCGUAGAUAUUAUAUGUAUGCACACAUGGUGUCGUGGGAAGGUUACGUUGUGCAUCACUUGUGUGUUGACGUGUUGCGUUGUUUGGAUCGCCCUUUUGUACAAGCUACAGACCGCCUCUGACUAUUUUCCUGUAUGACUCAAGCGUGCCACAAUAGCGCUGCAAGUCAUGUUGCCGGAUACAGCUUUGAUGUUAAAGGUCUAAAAAAAAGGAUUUGGAAAAAAUGCCAAUAGGCCAGAUGAGGACGUUUGGCGGCUCUGAUGUGGCCCGCAGGCUGCAGUCUACCCACCCCUGGUAUAAAUAGUAACAGUGUGACAGACAGAACUGUCCAGUGGCGUUGCCAUUAAUGACUGACGUGUCGAGCGGCCAAUGACUGCACAAACAAAGGGUCGGUUUCUACACUGGUGUUCUGCUUGCAGUGACUACCAUGUGACCCGGCCAAUGCCUACAUGACCAGUGAGUGACUGAGACUUGUCAUGGUAUCCCUACAGCCUGGCCAAUGACUAUAUGAACAAAGAGUAGGCCAUUGAUCGUAUAGCGUUUGAACAGUCUAGAAACACUGCAAGAAGGUGGGACCUCCUGUGAGCCACAGGGCAAUAGAGCAAUGAAUGUCGAUGGAGGCCUGUCAUGAUUGCCAUUCAGCCUGGCCAAUGACUGUACAGUGGUUCAACCAUGAGAGAUACUGCAUGGAGGUAUAGUGGUUGAUGCACAGUGUUUGAUUAAGUUUUUUUUUCCUGUGUAUCUGUUUUUGUCUUCGCUGUACAAGACAGUCCUGCGUUGUGCACGUCAUGCGCAUGGCCUCGGUCAGGUGUUUAUGCUUGCCUUCUUUCUAAUAUAAAUGAGCCACAUUGCUGCUUGUAGCCAUAACAUGCGAACACAGGCGAAUCUGAGAAAUGAGCCCAUUACUUUUUUUCCUCAAGUGUGUUUUUGCUGAAUAAUUGAAGUAAAUGGGACAGCAGUUUUUUUUGUGUGUGUCUUAUUGUGAGCUCGAACAGCCAGCUGUGAAAGUCGUAUUUCCGCUGGGUUUAUGUGGUCAUAAUUAGCACCUCCCAUGUGAUUCUGUGAGUGUGUGCGUGCGUGUGAAUACAAUGCGAUGAGGGGUGUGCUUGUGUUUACAUGACAGCCGACCAAGAGGGGAAGUGACGCAGGAGUCGGUCUUAAAGGGGAAUAGCAGACAUGCUGCAGAAAAUCAAGAGAGACAGGGGACAGGAAGGGUUAGGACAACAUAGCGAGAUAAAACAUACGUAGUUUAGGAACAGUGACGCGCAACUCGACACACAUGAACUCAGUCAUUGUUCACACUGGUUUUGGCCAAUUUGAUUAUGAAAUGUGUUUACCCUCUCGCUCGCUAUAAAAGUAGUGACACAAGGUUGUGUUUGUUCAGAGCUUGGCCUGUUCCAAUUCUGAGCCAACAUCCCCGCUUGCUAUUCACGGUGACCUCAUCAUCUCUCUAGCUAACUCGCCUGCCAAACUGGAGCCCUCUCGAACCUUCUUGGCUGUGAAACUUUCGCAACACAUACAACUAUUGACAUCUCGACAAAUGCUUCUCGACAUACGAAGAAAGACUCAAAGAAGCAAACAUGGAGGUUAGUCAAGUGUGGUAGUCAACUUUCAACACCCAAACACUUUGUGUUUGUGAUUCCAGCCAUUGACGUUACAGCACUUUUAUAUUCAGGGACUUUGUAAGGAGGCAGGCCCUAAAACAAAAAGCAAGUCACAGGGCAACGGAAGAAUGAAUGCAGACUGUGGUUUGUCACAUUGCCGCCUAGUCACUGAUAGCAUGAUCAGUAAGUCGGCUGAUGCUUUAUUUUUGUCCCAUGUUCUACUAUUAUUCAACAUUACUUUUGAAAUGACUUUUCAUUCAUGCACACUUGCACGAUGUAAUAGAUGCUGUGUACAGUCAGGACACAAACACUACAGUACUAACAUUACAGUCACAUUUUAAUAGCAACAUUAUGUUAUGUCGUCUAUUUGCUGAAGAAAACUCACAUCUCCCAUGGAUAUUGUUGACUGAUGCCAGACUUUAAGAUGUGUAGCAAAGCCAGUUUUUUUUAUUAUGAUUGUUUUUUUUGCCUGUGCUUAGUAUGUUAUUCUCCCAAAAGUGGAGUGGAUCAGCCAUGGCAGGUCCAACACGAGUGAAAAAAAAAAUCUCCUCCCAUUCAGUGUGGAAGUGGUACAUUUUUGGCUUACUUUGUUCUUCUUCCCCACUAUGUUGGAAAUAGUAUACUUGAAGUUAGCUUGUUAGCUUGGUACCUUGCUAUAUGCAAAUGCACACACAUAUACGCAAUGUCAGUCUCUUAUGUUCCUGCAAUGAUCCCGUAGCCUGUGCAUUGUAUAAUGUCGUGUAAAUAAUAAUAAUAUUAGGAGUGUAAUGGUAGAAAUCUUAUUUACAAAGUCAAACAGGUUUUCUAUGCUCUAACUACAAAAAUAUUCAGUUUAUUAACUUUGUGGGAUAAUUCACUUAUCACGGCUGGGUCUGAAGGAUAUUAACCGCGACAAACGAGGGAUAACUGUAUGAUACGCUGAACCCUGAAAUAUGCCUCUCAUAGUUAUUACGUCAUUUUUAAAUUCCAUUUUACACAUUAUGAAACAAUUACAGACAGGGAGAAUUAUCCUUGGAAAAUAUGCAGUUGCACACUACAUCUUGACAAAACAUCUUCCUGUUGGAAAAUGUUGAAUGAAUUGACUUGUGAAAUAGCGCCCUCUGCUGGAUUCGUAGGACAAUGGGGGGAAAACAUGGCGGCUAUUUAAAAUCUGAGCAAAAAUGAUGGGAUGGGAGAAACUAUAAACUCUAAUGUUAUUCUUUGUCUUGAUAAUAUCCAUGUUCAAGUUGAUGCCUGUUUUACGGUAUUAAAACUCAUUAGUAGCACUUUUGUACACUGGAAACAAAUAUACUGCGUAUAAAAACAGCUGUGAUGACGUGCGACUUACAUUUCUGAUGUGAUCCAAUUUUGAAGUAUAAAGAAAUAAAUGAUCAUAUUUUGUUUAAAGCCGUCAGCAUGACCUGUGGAUCAUAUUGUGUCAGCAUGCCUUGUGUGACAGUGAGGUUAUUGUGUGUCCAAAGGUAAUAUUUCUCCACUGCCAACGAUGGAAUAAUGAAUCAAGUGUCUAAAAAGGAAAUGCUGUAAUCAUCUACCCCAUGUGAGGCAGGAAUGUGCACACUGCAACACUGUAAACGUCUAAUCAUACAGCGUGGUGCUUACUGUAUGUGUUUCAUACAGGAGCCUCUGUGAAUGGGCCUGCGCUUGUCUGCGGGGAGUCGGUUGUUGCCCAGCCUGCAGGAUGGAAGGUGACUCGGCAGGGAGAGUCUGGCCUAGCGCCAAGCUGCAUAGUAUGCAACCGGGCAGCAGAAAGCCGAAAUGAUACGCUAUUGUUUGUGAACUGACUGCGAGGCGAGCUGUUGAUAACCAAGGGCGGUCAGUAAAGAGAUGCUGUCCAUCUCUCAGGGACUUCUUAUGUAACCAUGUUUUCUCUCUCACUCUCUCUCUCUCUCUCUCUCUCUCUCUACAGACACCGCUGGAGGUUAGUGCACAGCCGUCAAUGUGUGCGGGGCUCAAAUUAGCAGGCAGCACUGGAAUGACGCACUCCUGGAACGAAGGUCUGAACGUGGGUGUUUGUGUACUUGUGUGUAAGAAUCCUUCACUUGAUUUGCCGAAUCCGUAAUUCCAACACCAAGCGACGAUGCAUAAUCAAUUUUAUUUGUGCACCCGUGCUGGCUGUGGUUAAGGCUUCUUUGUGUGUCUACACCCUACACUCAAUUGUUUAUGUGGCUGCGGAACGAGAAAAAUGUGUGUGUGUGGGCGGGUUAGCAUGAUUCUACCUGUUGUAAAGGGUGUGCGUUUUUGUGACCACUCCUUCUCACAAUGAACUUUGGCUCUUCAUUUGGACUUUAUGUUUGCUUGCAGGCACAAUGGCAGCACAUGGAGGGAGAUGUAUAAAUUAUGUAGUAUGUUAGUAAUAUUGCAGGGCAGCACACUGAAAAUCACACUAUACAUUUUUUGUCUUCCUUAAGAUUCCAGACAAAUCAUGUUGUUAAAUGCAAACUACCGUAAAUUUCGGUGUAUAACCCGCACAUGUCCACGUCCGUGAGGACAGGAGACAGGACAGGAACUCAUCAUAAGCUAGGAAAAAAUGCUGACAAUGAUAUACCAGACUGACUCACGGUGUACUCUUACCCAGAACACUAAACUCAUCACACAGCACUUAACACUUAAAUAUACAAACAUAUACCAAUACAUAUACCAAUACAAUUUGGAUUGGAUGCAUAUGAAAUACAACAGAAUAUAUUAGUAUCACAGAAACGUUAGUUGUUUGCAGCUAUUUUUUGCAAAAAUACAGUUUUUGUAUGGUUUUUAUGAAAAUUACUGCCAAAAAUAUGUAUCGAUUUAACUUUGUUUUCUUCAUGUAAAAUUACCAAAUUAUUGGGUGUCUGGAAUGAGUGAAUUGGAUUUACAUUAUUUCAUACGGGGAAAAAAACAUUCAUUUUUUUGGACUUUUUUUCAGACCAUUUGAAACAGAAUAAUAACCAAAACCGAGCUCCCACUAUAUAAGAUUUGAGCUGUGGGGUGAAGCUUGGGAACACAAGACCGUGGUUGAAGAUGGCAACGACAAUGCAGAAUAUCGUAGGAUUAUUUGUGAUGCACAAUGAUGAAUCAUUGUGUGUGUGUGUGUGUGUGUGUGUGUGUGUGUGUGAAUUCCAUUGGCUUCUUGUUGUUCACCCACAUCUGUCACCCAUUGAAAGAGGGUUAUGCCUGUUGCCUCCUUUAAAAGCACCUUUAAUGGUAUUGCAUAAAAUGAUGAGUCACAGUGCGUCAACCUCACACACACACACACACACAUACACUCAUAUAACAGUAAAUGUACCAUUCCAAUUUAAUUAUGUUGAAAAUAUGAUAGGAUCCUUGAGAUUUAUUCAUUUUUUUCAUCUGUUCCCCAGCUUCUGUCAUGUGAGUGUGUGACAUUUUAAUGCGUCAAUAAUUAACAUUUAUUGUUCUUGAGUCAUGCGCUUCAUGUCAAAAUAAACACACACACUGAAGGAACAGGAAACAACUAUCAUGAGCCAAGAAUGAACAAACAGUUCAGACUAACUCUGAAGAGAUCCUGUGGACAUUUUGUACCGUGUUGGUAUCAGUGACAUUUUUGCCUGAGGAUAUUCAUUUUUCAAACAUUUGGCUGAAAGCCACAAUGGCAAAAGAAAUGUCCCAUUGAAAAUACAAAAUGCUAAAAUGCUUUUAAAAAAAAACACAGUACCAUCUGGUGGAUAUGCCCAUUAUACAAAAAUUAGGUUUAAAAAAGUCCAUUAUAAAUCUUUAUUUCCCAUGGUAACAUGUCUUUAUUGGUGGACAAGCCUGGAUGCCACCCAUGAUAAAUGACAACAACUGAUUUAGUGCGUGCCUGCUAUUACUCUGUUUGCCGUUCCAAGAAUCCUGACCUUUAUGAAUAGUUGGGCGCUCACUGUGUGGUUCACCUUUGCCCUCCACUUCCUCGUGACAAAAAAAAGACUGAAACACAAACAUGGCGUCAGCAAGUCUUUUUUUAGCAGGAUGAGAGGCAAGGGGUCACACGUGUGCGGUGUUCUUUUUUUAAAUGCCGUUCUAACCCCGCUAUGUGUGACCAUAGAUCAUGAUCUCUAUUGGGAAACAUAGCCCUCUUUCUUUCCAGCGAAGUGCUUCUCUGAGGAGCUUCAUUUGCUUACACCUGUGACCCAGUUAGUGCCACUACACUCUGGAGACUGUGAUUGGUUAAAGAGGCAGCCCACUAAUGAUAUGCCAACGGUGUAUCAUUUAUGAGUGGAGUCAUUUGAAUUUUUACACUGAUGUAAUGCUGAGUCAGGACACCAGACUCGAAUUGCUCGAAUUGUGACUGCAGAGACGACACGGUGGCCAGUCUCCAUGUCUCUAUUGGUCAGUCUACACGUGGUUCAUAAUACAAGCAGGACCAAUGAUUGGUUGGUUGCGUCACUCACUCUGGAUUAGAGUAGUGAUUGGUCACUCAUUUUUAUUGUUGUCAUUUGUCAGGAAAACUGUUAAGAUUGGUCCGUACUCAUGCCAAUCAUUACACAUGGCAUUCGUGAUUGGCCGGUUGUGAUUGCUCUGUUUCUUUGUUUAUUCUUCAUUGGUGAGUCUACAUGUUGGUCAUACAACAACGAGGACCCUAUGAUGUCCGUUUUAGUGGAAUUAUGACAGAUGGGAUGGGUCAGUUGCUUCACUCACUCCUCAUUGGUCAGUCUACUUGUCAAUCGUUACAGAGCACAGCAGGAUCCUCAGUACCAGUUUACGUCGCACCGAGGAACUAAUGUAUACAUGUUGUUUACAAAGUUUUAUUAUUUGUUUACUUUUUUUAUUUGAAAGAAGAUGCUAGGUGGGUCAUUAGUUGUUUUUUCCGAAAAGAUGUAUCUGUAUAAGGUGCAGUAUAAGAGCAAAUACGCACUGAAACACUAGUAUGAACUCAUGUACUGAAGAACUCUCCCUGGAUGAUUGUUCCUGUCUUUGACCUUUGGUUUCUGAGCGUGGACGUGGUCAAAGAAAGCAAAUGAUCGUGUCAUAUUGCUUUGGGCUAUAGAAAGAAGUUGGCAGGGCCGGUGGGACUGACCCCUCUCUUUGCCUCUGGCGUCACCAUGGAGACGCUGGCUCUUUUUAUAGAGUUCCUCUCAUUCUCUUGGUUGUUUACCAUUCAGUGCACUGAAGGCUAAGUGCAAUUGUGGAGUAGUUGACUGCGGCGUUGAGAAGAUGCUUUGGGUGUGAUGUCCUGCAGGUUUGAGCAAGGCACUACACAUUACACAAGUGUGGGUUUGUAACAAAAUCCUAUUGAUGUUUUAACACCUUUUUCCCCCUGAAUCAGUCUCCUGGCCUUGCUGGGAUCCCUGCCAGCCGCCUGUGGUAGUAGAGCAAUUGGCAUCACACACACACAUGCAUGUGCACACUUGGAUGCCUUUGGCUGUGUGUGUGUGUGUGUGUGUGUGUGUGUGUGAGACAUAUUUUUUCUUCAUUUACACCUUUCCAAACAUCAAGGGAGGCACUCACCUAUCAUUUCACAAACAAGACACGCUUGCAGAAAACAGUAUAAAGGGGAGACAUGUUGCUGCAUGCUUUGAAUGGGAAAGGGUAGCACCAUGUGGCGGACAAUUGACUUUUCAAAUAAUUGAAAGUCAAUUAUUCAAAUAAUUAUUCAAAUAAUUGAAAGUCAAUUGUCCAAAUUGAAAACCAUGAAUUCAUUCAUUCUACCGCUUAACCUCAGGAGGGUCGCGGGGGUGCUGGAGCCUAUCCCAGUUGUCUUCGGGCGAGAGGCGGGGUACACCCUGGACUGGUGGCCAGCCAAUCACAGGGCACAUAUAGACAAACAACCAUUCACACUCACAUUCAUACCUAUGGACAAUUUGGAGUGGCCAAUUAACCUAGCAUGUUUUUGGAAUGUGGGAGGACACCGGAGUACCCGGAGAAAACCCACACUUGUUUGGGGAGAACAUGCAAACUCCACACAGAGAUGGCCAAGGGUGGAAUUGAACUCGGGUGUCCUAGCUGUGAGGCUUGCAUGCUAACCACUCGGACGCCAUGCAGCUCAUUAGUUUCUGUUAAGCUAAAUGUGGUUUUCAAUGACCCAAUAUAUGUCAUAAGAAACCAGUGUGUUGAAUUUUGUUAGCUUUACCAUUUUAGGCUAAUUCAAGGGUAGAGAUGAUUGUUCUGAAAUGUUUUCAAAAUGAAUAUCCGCUGGCUAAUUGUACCUAGAAUUAAUCAUAUGCCCAUUGUUUGUUUUUUAAUGGCCUGGGGCACAUGGUAGAAAUAAUAUUAAACAAAAAACUGCAAAAAAAUAGGACAGACCCUCAAUCUAAAGAGAUAAAGCUGAAAUGUUGAUACCAAUAAAUAAAUAAGACUAACAAAGUGGCCUCUGGCGUUGUCUUAAGCUACCUAUAACCUACCUACAGUGUAACUUCCUCUUACACAUUCAAAAUAAACAGACAUACCUCCAGUGGGUGACAAAGCCCAUCGAUCAUCGACUCGUCUGUGGGUGUGCGUUUCCUCCUCUUUACUCACAUUUUUUGGCUUGCUUCAUGAGAGACACACCUACUUUGUUUUGUAGGACAGGACACACACACAGAGUGAGAGAGAGUGAGAGAGAGUGAGAGAGAGCAGUGUGUAACUGUCAGUGUCAGGCUAUGCUCAGAGUCCGGAACUUCAGUCCCAUUUAGAUGAUGAAGAAAAAGUGAAGAUGGACACAUAAAUGGAUGGAGAAUUUUGGAUUUGUGAAGAAAAAGUGUGUGCUGCUAAUAAAAAGGAGAGGAUACACACUUACCUUAUGGAUGCAUUGUGGAUCAAUAUGGAGGAUGACGUGCUCAUCAAGCGUAGGAGUCAAGCGUAGAGACACCAAUAUCUCUGUGUAUGUGCCUCGACAAGUCACUUCCUGGGAGAGAAUGCAACAGGAAGCCAGCAGACAAGCCAACAAGGAGAAUGCAGCCCACCUCGACAAGGAGGCCUUUCUUUCCCAAGUUGUGUGUAUGUGUGUGUGGUGCUGAGGCGGAUAGUGUGCAUAAAAAGCUUAAAGGGCAAGUUUUUUCAAUCAUUGAGAAUACAGAGUUUGCAGCUGACAUCCAAAAGGGAUUUGCCUGAUAGUAUUUGGACUUGGUAUUUUUGCAAUAGGGACUAUUAAACAUCUUAUUGAGGCUCUAUGACUAAAGUGUUUACGUUUGGGUUUUAAAAACAGCAGAGCGCUCCUGUCAUACACAACAACACAAGAUCUUUGACUGGCAUGAACAGACUGUUUCUGUCCUUAUUUCUGACUUUGUGGUUUAAUUAAUGACUCCUAUGGAAUGGAGUGAAACUCUUAGCUUUCUAUCGCAAAAAGACUUGAAAUACCUGAGAUCACCUACACUGCCUAACUUUCAAUUUAAUACAAUCAUUUUUGACGGGUUUAGUGACACCUAGUGGUGAUUGACUUAAUUGCAUCUUGAUAUGUGAAUGGGCAAAAGAGAAGUGGGAGCAAAAACAAGCGCAAUAAUCAGUUAAUGAUAUAUGUUGCCAUUAAACCAUUGAAUUCAUGCUAUUUAAAAUCUUCUGUGCUAAGGAGUACCCAACAUUGCGCCACGUUUCUUGAACAUUUUCUUGGAUAUUUCAACUCCAUUCCUCAUAAUAUUAAGUUUAUUCUUAUAAAAUUGAGACAUUUUUUUCUCAUUAGAAUACCACUUUGUUUUUUUCUUUUUGUAAAUGUCAUCAUAAAUUAUUUCCAUCAUAUUUUGACUAUUCUAGCAACAAGGUCUUAAUUUUGCAAAAAUUACCACUUUAUUCGUUGUUUUUUUUGUCUGAUUAAAAUUUGAAUAUUUUUUCUUCUGUUUUCCCCAUAAUAUUUUGACUUUAUUCUUGUAAAAUUACCACUUAUUUUGUUUUACAUUUUUUGCUGUUAUUUUGAAGUUACUUGUUAAAUUCUAUUUUCAGAAUGUGCCACAGGCACAAUAAAUACAAUAACAAACAGCCGCAGGCCGCAAAUGGACCGCAAGUUGCACUUUGGACAACUUUGAUAUAAUUUAAUGACACAUCAACUCUACAUUCCAGAAAUCUGCCACAUGAUUAGUUUUAUAUACCAGAGGUGGGAGAAAGUCUGUGUUUUGCAAGUCUUUGAUAUAACAAUUUGUAGUAAAGAUCCAGGAACUUUUUCAACUGAGGAAUAUUCCGUUUCUAUGAGAACUAAUGAGAAUUAAACCAAAAUUUGGUGCGACUGUCACAUUCUGCAUCUAUGCAAACAUAAAUAUUUGACAUUUAUGCAUGUAGACUAUUACCAUUAGUCUGGAAUAGUCUUUACCUGGCAUUUUUGCAGAACACUGAAUGAUUUUGUUAUUUUACAUCAUCAGAAUGAAACACUGGACAAAGUUUUUAGGUUGCCCAACAAUGUUCCAAUAUCAACAAUAAUGUUACAAUAUAAUUCCCUUGUAUUACACAGAAUUGUUUGAGCAAAUGCUUUCCUGUAUCCAAUAACUUGUUCCAAGAGUUUGUAAGCACACAAGAAAGGUUCAAUUUUCCUGGAAUUUUGCACCCCAGUGAUAGUAGACGUUGCAAGAUGUCUGCCCCCAGAAGCUGAUUUCACAUGGUGGUUUAGAUGUAUGUUCGCUUUGUCUAGCACCAUUUGAAAUCAGUGUUCUUGAGGACAGGAGCACGACCUCCACACCCCCACCCCACCGACCUUCAGGCAGUGUCAGGUGGGGGUCAAGCUGUUCCCUCACUCUGCUCUUUUUUCCACUACCAGAUAACCGAUUUCCUCUGGUGCAUAGAGCCCUGCUGAGUCCUUCUAGCACCAUUUGAAAUCGGUUAUAAAACCGUGGAUCAGUGCAUCUGUCCAACACACCAGUGAAAAAUAGACACACAGGUACAUAGUACAUGCAUAUUUAUUAAGAAAAUGUCACCCCCACGCAAGUCAAGGUCAAAGUCCGACAGCAUUUGCAUUCCUUUUCCUGUCGCCACUGGGUGGCGCUGAGACAAAUUCAGGAAGUGAAGUUUUUUUUGUGUCGGGAAAAAUCAGAUACUGAUAUCACAUUUUGACACUGAUAUCGGGUUGAUAAUUAUCGGACAUUCCUAAAAAUAUGAAUUUCAAUAUUCUGAUAUAUGAAAAAAUACUGUUUGUUACCCUCGUCUGCAUUGCUUUUCAGACGAGUCUUUGCUACUUUGCUAAUGCAGUGGAACCUUGGUUAGCGUCAUUAAUCCAUUCCAGAACAUCUGACUCUAAACAAACACACUGCAACUGAAUCCCACCCAUAAGAAAUAAUAAAUCCACAAUGAAUCCAGUUAGUGGAUGAAUGUGCUGUAGCCCACAGCAAAAAGUACCCCGGCCCGCACUUUGGACACCCCUGUGCUAUAUAGGAACUAGGAAAAUACUCACCAUAUGCAAAGAACACAGGAGGUAUAGGUCAAAUCUAUCACACUGACACAAAACACACAAACGUAUCCCUUCCUUGCUGGCUCAACUAAAAUAGUGUGCUAAUUACAAAGAAGAGACCGUUGCGUCGCGUGAGAAAACUUGCAAUAUGAGGUGGCAAGGCAGGAAACACAAAUAAGAGUCCAACCGGAACUAACCACCAACCACUUCACCUGUCACACAGACGAUGACAUCACCUCUGGUCUAAAGUGAGUUGAUGAAGGUUGUUUACAUUUAAUCUAAAUGGAAUGAAGUCAAAGCAGGUGUUAGAGACAGCAAGAUCAUCCAAAACAAUGAAUACAACCAAAAAAUACAUACGUUGUUUUUUUUUUUUUAGCACCUAAUGGUGACUAUAGCUGGCGUAUAACCUUUCAAUUCGUUUUAAUAACAUUAAUGGACCAAAGGUAAUGAUUAGGAAACGCCUCGUCAAAGAAGUGUAUGUACUUAUGUUAAUAAUAAAAAACCAGCAAGAUUUUAAAAUAGCAGUCAAGCUAGCACUGUAUCGUUACGGCUGUCCUGCAAACAAACGCAGUUGCGCCAAAAUGGCACUAGAUGUCAGCAAAAGCCCACUUAUGAUCAAAACUUCAGCACUACAAAAACAAUACACACUUUUCACAUCUUUUUUAUUUUUUACACAAAACAUUAUGGUUACUUGGGGAUUUUCAGUUUAGUGUUAAAUACUGACAAACUAAACAU